GCGCUGCUGUCGCGACUGAGGCCGGCGAUCGGGCGGCGCGACUCGGCCCUGAGGAGAGCGGUGCCGGCCGAGGUGCGCCCGGCGCUCACCCUGUGGCGCCUGGGAGCCGUCACCGAGUACCGGGCGCUGGAAGCCACCUUCGGAGUGUCCCGCAGCUCGAGGAAGCAGCACAGUUCAUUUGAACGAAGUCCUUCCUUACAUGUCAGAGAAAAAACAAGUUGUGUGAGAGCUCUGCUAGCUGUGAAUGCCUGGAGUGAAGAAUUUUACUGCUCUGCAAAGCGCACGCUGUUUAACUACACUUGAGGGAAAACAGCUAAUAUACAUGCUCAUUUUGGAAGACUUCCCUGGCAGUGACAAGUUCUGUGCUAAGUGCUGGAUUGGAGAGCUUGGCUCGGGGAGAUACCUUUAGCUUGAUGGUACACAGGGGUCUAAAGAGGGUGUCCGGGUGUCCCUGUGCUCUGGCACCAGCUGAGGUGCAGGAGCGCUUCUAGGGCUGCCUGCAGACGUG
This is a long non-coding RNA of Hirundo rustica (Barn swallow), 508 nucleotides long. RefSeq lists it as uncharacterized. The record is from RefSeq and is a predicted model, not a curated record. The transcript has 3 exons. Lineage: Eukaryota; Metazoa; Chordata; Aves; Passeriformes; Hirundinidae.